Gavialis gangeticus (Gharial) is the source of this 185-nucleotide long non-coding RNA. RefSeq lists it as uncharacterized. The record is from RefSeq and is a predicted model, not a curated record. The transcript has 4 exons. NCBI's taxonomy places the organism in Eukaryota, Metazoa, Chordata, Crocodylia, Gavialidae.
AUGAAAAGAAGCCUCUGCAAGAUGUAAGGCAGAGGUGGGGCACUGGAGUGAAGAGCCUACUACCCAGACCCUGGAGGUCUUGGCCAGCAACCAAGAAGAAAGCCUCCGCAAUUUAAAAAAGAAACUCAAGCCUCAACUUCCUUAGUGGAAGGCCCCACCUGCACCCUAAGCCCUCCGCCACUGCC